RNAcentral lists this ribosomal RNA (230 nucleotides) under Litchfieldia salsa. RNAcentral's name for it is "Bacillus salsus 16S rRNA. Bacterial SSU". It matches the Rfam family "Bacterial small subunit ribosomal RNA", at positions 1 to 219 of the family's 1533-position model. The record is from RNAcentral. Lineage: Bacteria; Bacillati; Bacillota; Bacilli; Caryophanales; Bacillaceae.
UCUUUUUGGAGAGUUUGAUCCUGGCUCAGGAUGAACGCUGGCGGCGUGCCUAAUACAUGCAAGUCGAGCGAAUCUGAGGGAGCUUGCUCCCAAAGAUUAGCGGCGGACGGGUGAGUAACACGUGGGCAAUCUGCCUGUAAGACUGGGAUAACUUCGGGAAACCGGAGCUAAUACCGGAUAAUAUUGAGAACCGCAUGGUUCUCUAUUAAAAGAUGGUUUCGGCUAUCACU